CAGCAGCCGCGGUAAAACGAAGGGUGCAAGCGUUAAUCGGAAUUACUGGGCGUAAAGCGUGCGUAGGCGGUGAGUUAAGUCUGCUGUGAAAUCCCCGGGCUCAACCUGGGAAUGGCAGUGGAUACUGGCUCGCUAGAGUGUGUCAGAGGAUGGUGGAAUUCCCGGUGUAGCGGUGAAAUGCGUAGAGAUCGGCAGGAACAUCAGUGGCGAAGGCGGCCAUCUGGGACAACACUGACGCUGAGGCUCGAAAGCGUGGGUAGCGAACAGGAUUAGAUACCCCUGUAGUCCCUGUCUCUUAUAC
This 301-nucleotide ribosomal RNA is filed under the name uncultured bacterium. Its description in RNAcentral is "partial 16S ribosomal RNA". It matches the Rfam family "Bacterial small subunit ribosomal RNA", at positions 509 to 807 of the family's 1533-position model. The record is from RNAcentral.